AUACGAGGGGUGCAAGCGUUAAUCGGAAUUACUGGGCGUAAAGCGGUCGUAGGCGGUUUGUUAAGCAAGAUGUGAAAGCCCUGGGCUCAACCUGGGAACUGCAUUUUGAACUGGCAAGCUAGAAUACUGUAGAGGGUGGUGGAAUUUCCAGUGUAGCGGUGAAAUGCGUAGAGAUUGGAAGGAACAUCAGUGGCGAAGGCGGCCACCUGGACAGAUAUUGACGCUGAGGAACGAAAGCGUGGGGAGCGAACAGGAUUAGAAACCCCAGUAGUCC
This 274-nucleotide ribosomal RNA is filed under the name uncultured bacterium. Its description in RNAcentral is "partial 16S ribosomal RNA". It matches the Rfam family "Bacterial small subunit ribosomal RNA", at positions 523 to 796 of the family's 1533-position model. The record is from RNAcentral.